This 299-nucleotide long non-coding RNA is filed under the name Linum usitatissimum (flax). RNAcentral describes it as "long non-coding RNA (LUSI_LNC001092)". Lineage: Eukaryota; Viridiplantae; Streptophyta; Magnoliopsida; Malpighiales; Linaceae. The record is from RNAcentral.
CUGACUAAGGUUUCCUUUCGCCAUCUUGUCGCAAAUUGUUCUACCAUGUGAAGCAACUUGAGGACUACCUCCACCACCAGCGGGUGAAGCAGGAACCGAUUUUGAUCUCGGCAGACUUUCAAAGAAUGGAUCUUUCCAACCAUCCCUACUGCUAAUACCCAAAGGUUCAAGUAAGUUUGAAGCAGCACCAUUGUUCCAGCCAAGUUUGCCAGUGGACUUUUGCGAACCCAUGGAAGCCGAGUUAGCAGGUUUGGCAUUCCUAUCUGUGAUUGCAAGCAUUUCACCUAGUGUGCUGCUCC